RNAcentral lists this ribosomal RNA (497 nucleotides) under uncultured bacterium. Its description in RNAcentral is "partial 16S ribosomal RNA". It matches the Rfam family "Bacterial small subunit ribosomal RNA", at positions 28 to 507 of the family's 1533-position model. The record is from RNAcentral.
GAUGAACGCUGGCGGCGUGCCUAAUACAUGCAAGUCGAGCGAACAGACGAGGAGCUUGCUCCUCUGACGUUAGCGGCGGACGGGUGAGUAACACGUGGAUAACCUACCUAUAAGACUGGGAUAACUUCGGGAAACCGGAGCUAAUACCGGAUAAUAUAUUGAACCGCAUGGUUCAAUAGUGAAAGACGGUUUUGCUGUCACUUAUAGAUGGAUCCGCGCCGCAUUAGCUAGUUGGUAAGGUAACGGCUUACCAAGGCAACGAUGCGUAGCCGACCUGAGAGGGUGAUCGGUCACACUGGAACUGAGACACGGUCCAGACUCCUACGGGAGGCAGCAGUAGGGAAUCUUCCGCAAUGGGCGAAAGCCUGACGGAGCAACGCCGCGUGAGUGAUGAAGGUCUUCGGAUCGUAAAACUCUGUUAUUAGGGAAGAACAAAUGUGUAAGUAACUAUGCACGUCUUGACGGUACCUAAUCAGAAAGCCACGGCUAGCUACGUG